RNAcentral lists this ribosomal RNA (301 nucleotides) under uncultured bacterium. Its description in RNAcentral is "partial 16S ribosomal RNA". It matches the Rfam family "Bacterial small subunit ribosomal RNA", at positions 509 to 807 of the family's 1533-position model. The record is from RNAcentral.
CAGCCGCCGCGGGAAUACGAAGGGGGCUAGCGUUGUUCGGAAUUACUGGGCGUAAAGCGUGCGUAGGCGGUGAGUUAAGUCUGCUGUGAAAUCCCCGGGCUCAACCUGGGAAUGGCAGUGGAUACUGGCUCGCUAGAGUGUGUCAGAGGAUGGUGGAAUUCCCGGUGUAGCGGUGAAAUGCGUAGAGAUCGGGAGGAACAUCAGUGGCGAAGGCGGCCAUCUGGGACAACACUGACGCUGAGGCACGAAAGCGUGGGGAGCAAACAGGAUUAGAUACCCCGGUAGUCCCUGUCUCUUAUAC